Molecule: unclassified non-coding RNA, 260 nt
Filed under: soil metagenome
Description: partial contains small subunit ribosomal RNA, internal transcribed spacer 1, and 5.8S ribosomal RNA
Source: RNAcentral
UUUCCGUAGGUGAACCUGCGGAAGGAUCAUUAUCAUACAACUGAGGUGUGACGGCUGUCGCUGAUCUUUAGAGGUCGUGCACGCCCAAGCACUCUCACACAAUCCACCUCACCACCUUUUGUGCAUCCACCGCGUGGGCCCCCCUUUUGCAAAGGAGGGUUUGCGUUUUCACAUAAAACUUGUUACAGUGUAGAAUGUUUUUUUUCUUUUGCGGUUACACGCAAUCAAUACAACUUUCAACAACGGAUCUCUUGGCUCUC